CCUACGGGGGGCAGCAGUGGGGAAUAUUGGGCAAUGGGCGCAAGCCUGACCCAGCAACGCCGCGUGAAGGAAGAAGGCUCUCGGGUUGUAAACUUCUUUUAUCAGGGACGAAGCAAGUGACGGUACCUGAAGAAAAAGCAUCGGCUAACUCCGUGCCAGCAGCCGCGGUAAUACGGAGGCUGCGAGCGUUAUCCGGAUUUAUUGGUUUUAAAGGGUGCGUAGGCGGGUUAUCAAGUCAGCGGUAAAAUCGUGGAGCUCAACUCCAUCCAGCCGUUGAAACUGAUGAUCUUGAGUGGGCGAGAAGUAUGCGGAAUGCGUGGUGUAGCGGUGAAAUGCAUAGAUAUCACGCAGAACUCCGAUUGCGAAGGCAGCAUACCGGCGCCCGACUGACGCUGAAGCACGAAAGCGUGGGUAUCGAACAGGAUUAGAUACCCCAGUAGUC
RNAcentral lists this ribosomal RNA (442 nucleotides) under uncultured bacterium. RNAcentral describes it as "partial 16S ribosomal RNA". It matches the Rfam family "Bacterial small subunit ribosomal RNA", at positions 338 to 795 of the family's 1533-position model. The record is from RNAcentral.